CUGGAGGCAGCAGUGGGGAAUCUUGCGCAAUGCGCGAAAGCGUGACGCAGCAACGCCGCGUGGGGGAAGAAGGCCUUCGGGUUGUAAACCCCUUUCAGUUGGGACGAAGCUCCGCCGGUGAACAGCCGGCUGGAGUGACGGUACCUUCAGAAGAAGCCCCGGCUAACUACGUGCCAGCAGCCGCGGUAAUACGUAGGGGGCAAGCGUUGUCCGGAAUUAUUGGGCGUAAAGAGCGUGUAGGCGGCUCGGUAAGUCCGCUCUGAAAGCCCGGGGCUCAACCCCGGGAGGCGGGCGGAUACUGCUGGGCUAGAGUCCGGAAGAGGCGAGUGGAAUUCCCGGUGUAGCGGUGAAAUGCGCAGAUAUCGGGAGGAACACCAAUGGCGAAGGCAGCUCGCUGGGACGGUACUGACGCUGAGACGCGAAAGCGUGGGGAGCAAACAGGCUUAGAAACCCUAGUAGUCCA
This 463-nucleotide ribosomal RNA is filed under the name uncultured bacterium. RNAcentral's name for it is "bacterial SSU rRNA". It matches the Rfam family "Bacterial small subunit ribosomal RNA", at positions 342 to 797 of the family's 1533-position model. The record is from RNAcentral.